RNAcentral lists this ribosomal RNA (425 nucleotides) under bacterium. RNAcentral describes it as "partial 16S ribosomal RNA". It matches the Rfam family "Bacterial small subunit ribosomal RNA", at positions 355 to 776 of the family's 1533-position model. The record is from RNAcentral.
UGGGGAAUAUUGCACAAUGGGCGCAAGCCUGAUGCAGCGACGCCGCGUGAGGGAUGGAGGCCUUCGGGUUGUAAACCUCUUUCGCCAGUGAAGCAGGCCAUCUUCUUUGUGGGGUGGUUGACGGUAGCUGGAUAAGAAGCGCCGGCUAACUACGUGCCAGCAGCCGCGGUAAUACGUAGGGCGCGAGCGUUGUCCGGAAUUAUUGGGCGUAAAGAGCUCGUAGGCGGCUGGUCGCGUCUGUCGUGAAAUCCCCUGGCUUAACUGGGGGCUUGCGGUGGGUACGGGCCGACUUGAGUGCGGUAGGGGAGACUGGAAUUCCUGGUGUAGCGGUGGAAUGCGCAGAUAUCAGGAGGAACACCGGUGGCGAAGGCGGGUCUCUGGGCCGUUACUGACGCUGAGGAGCGAAAGCGUGGGGAGCGAACAGG